Molecule: non-coding RNA, 182 nt
Organism: Zonotrichia albicollis (white-throated sparrow)
Lineage: Eukaryota; Metazoa; Chordata; Aves; Passeriformes; Passerellidae
Source: RefSeq, a predicted model, not a curated record
GAUCCNUCGCCCAGCAGCUCCAUCAGACGCCGGCGGCCGAUCGCGCUGACAGCUCUGUCCAGGUCCAGAAGAGCUCUGCUGUUGUCCCGAGGAAAUCCUACGUGCCCAGCAGCCGUGGCGAGUAUGUCAUUGCCAAGCUCGAUGACCUGGUCAACUGGGCACGGCGGAGCUCCCUUGGCCGA